GAUGAAGAACGUAGCGAAAUGCGAUAAGUAGUGUGAAUUGCAGAAUUCAGUGAAUCAUCGAAUCUUUGAACGCACAUUGCGCCCCUUGGUAUUCCAUGGGGCAUGCCUGUUCGAGCGUCAUUUGUACCUUCAAGCUUUGCUUGGUGUUGGGUGUUUGUCUCGCCUCUGCGUGUAGACUCGCCUUAAAACAAUUGGCAGCCGGCGUAUUGAUUUCGGAGCACAGUACAUCUCGCGCUUUGCACUCAUAACGACGACGUCCAAAAGUACAUUUUUACACUCUUGACCUCGGAUCAGGUAGGGAUACCCGCUGAACUUAAGCAUAUCAUAAGCGGAGGA
This 336-nucleotide unclassified non-coding RNA is filed under the name soil metagenome. RNAcentral describes it as "partial contains 5.8S ribosomal RNA, internal transcribed spacer 2, and large subunit ribosomal RNA". The stretch from base 1 to 120 matches the Rfam family "5.8S ribosomal RNA", at positions 35 to 154 of the family's 154-position model. The record is from RNAcentral.